This 253-nucleotide ribosomal RNA is filed under the name uncultured bacterium. RNAcentral describes it as "partial 16S ribosomal RNA". It matches the Rfam family "Bacterial small subunit ribosomal RNA", at positions 524 to 776 of the family's 1533-position model. The record is from RNAcentral.
UACAGAGGGUGCAAGCGUUGUUCGGAAUUAUGGGGCGUAAAGGGCGCGUAGGCGGUGCGGUAAGUCUGUAGUGAAAUCUCUGGGCUCAACUCAGAGUCUGCUGCAGAAACUGCCGUGCUUGAGUGUGGGAGAGGUGAGUGGAAUUCCCGGUGUAGCGGUGAAAUGCGCAGAUAUCGGGAGGAACACCAGUAGCGAAGGCGGCACUCUGGGCCGGUACUGACGCUGAGGAGCGAAAGCGUGGGGAGCGAACAGG